RNAcentral lists this ribosomal RNA (455 nucleotides) under uncultured bacterium. Its description in RNAcentral is "bacterial SSU rRNA". It matches the Rfam family "Bacterial small subunit ribosomal RNA", at positions 340 to 786 of the family's 1533-position model. The record is from RNAcentral.
UACGGAAGGCAGCAGUGGGGAAUAUUGCACAAUGGGCGCAAGCCUGAUGCAGCCAUGCCGCGUGUAUGAAAAAGGCCUUCGGGUUGUAAAGUACUUUCAGUCGUGAGGAAGGUGUUAAGGUUAAUAACCUUAGCAAUUGACGUUAGCGACAGAAGAAGCACCGGCUAACUCCGUGCCAGCAGCCGCGGUAAUACGGAGGGUGCGAGCGUUAAUCGGAAUUACUGGGCGUAAAGGGCACGCAGGCGGUUAAUUAAGUUGGAUGUGAAAUCCCCGGGCUUAACCUGGGAAUGGCAUUCAAGACUGGUUAGCUAGAGUCUUGUAGAGGGGGUUAGAAGUUCCAUGUGUAGCGGUGAAAUGCGUAGAGAUGUGGAGGAAUACCGGUGGCGAAGGCGGCCCCUGGACAAAGACUGACGCUCAUGUGCGAAAGCGUGGGGAGCAAACGAGGAUUAGAUACC